GCAGCAGGCACGCAAAUUACCCACUCCCGGCACGGGGAGGUAGUGACAAAAAAUAACGAUACGGGACUCUAUUGAGGCCCCGUAAUCGGAAUGAGUACACUUUAAAUCCUUUAACAAGGAUCCAUUGGAGGGCAAGUCUGGUGCCAGCAGCCGCGGUAAUUCCAGCUCCAAUAGCGUAUAUUAAAGUUGUUGCGGUUAAAAAGCUCGUAGUUGGUUCUGCGUGCCGCGCUGUCGGUUCGCCGCCUGUCGGUGUAACUGGCAUGUCGCGGCAUGUCCUGUCGGUGGUGAGCGGGGUCCACGGUACUGCAUAGGCUUAUUUAGUCGAUGUUAGUACCGUGUGUAUUUCCGUUCGCCGAUCUCUCCUACUCCGGUGCUCUUAAACGAGUGUCGAGGUAGGCCGACACGUUCACUUUGAACAAAUUAGAGUGCUUAAAGCAGGCUGAAAUAUCUGCCUGAAUAGUGGUGCAUGGAAUGAUAAAACAGGACCUCAGUUCUAUUUUGUUGGUUUUAGGAAUAUGAGGUAAUGAUCAAUAUGGACUGGCGGGGGCAUUCGUAUUGCGACGUUAGAGGUGAAAUUCUUGGAUCGUCGCAAGACGCACUAGAGCGAAAGCAUUUGCCAAGUAUGUCUUAAUUGAUCAAGAACGAAAGUUAGAGGUUCGAAGGCGAUCAGAUACCGCCCUAGUUCUAACCAUAAACGAUGCCAGCCAGCGAUCCGCCGAUGUUCCUUUAAUGACUCGGCGGGGAGCUUCCACCCGGGAAACCAAAGCUUUUGGGUUCCGGGGGAAGUAUGGUUGCAAAGCUGAAACUUAAAGGAAUUGACGGAAGGGCACCACCAGGAGUGGAGCCUGCGGCUUAAUUUGACUCAACACGGGAAACCUCACCAGGCCAGGACAUUGGAAGGAUUGACAGAUUGAUAGCUCUUUCUUGAUUCAGUGGGUAGUGGUGCAUGGCCGUUC
This 956-nucleotide ribosomal RNA is filed under the name Gageus micropterus. Its description in RNAcentral is "SSU rRNA". It matches the Rfam family "Eukaryotic small subunit ribosomal RNA", at positions 425 to 1293 of the family's 1831-position model. The record is from RNAcentral. Lineage: Eukaryota; Metazoa; Arthropoda; Insecta; Hemiptera; Reduviidae.